Molecule: non-coding RNA, 28 nt
Filed under: Bombyx mori (domestic silkworm)
Lineage: Eukaryota; Metazoa; Arthropoda; Insecta; Lepidoptera; Bombycidae
Source: RNAcentral
UCACUUCUGAACACAAAUGAUGACAAAC